Molecule: long non-coding RNA, 562 nt
Filed under: Heterocephalus glaber (naked mole-rat)
Lineage: Eukaryota; Metazoa; Chordata; Mammalia; Rodentia; Bathyergidae
Description: lncRNA (ENSHGLG00000041407.1)
Source: RNAcentral
GGUCAUGAAGGGGGAGGGGCCGCACUUGACACAAAAGAGCCAGGAGCAGAGUAGAGAUGAAGGGAGUGGAGCUGGGUGCAUCUAGCUCCCCAGAUACUCGCUGCUCAUCCCCUAAUCUUAAGUGAUUCGCGGUCCCACAGCCGGCUGAGGGUAUAUUUCCCUUCCUUCAUGAUCUCCAACAGUGUUAAAGCAGAAGAAACUGAGGUAUCCAGAAAGAGAAAAGUAACUGGGAUUGAGAAAAAGAAAGAGAUCAGAAAACAGAGGUAAAGGGAGAUUAAACAUCUUAUCCAAGGUACUACAUGGCUAUUGAGACCCAGAGAUUAUCUCAUCAGAUGACUGAAGCUGGAUGCCCAUGUCCCCACUAAACAGAAGGUCUCAAAGGGUAGAAUCUGAGCUCCUUCCAAUGAGAGAGACUUAAUUCCAGCAAUAUACUAUCUUGUUCCUCAUCUUACUCUUUACCCUAUCCCAACUUUUUUUUGUUUGUUUGUUUUUUGGUACUGGGGAUCGAACUCGGGUCCUUGCACUUGUGCAGCAGGCGGCAAAACCAUUGAGCUAAAUCCCC